RNAcentral lists this ribosomal RNA (497 nucleotides) under uncultured bacterium. Its description in RNAcentral is "partial 16S ribosomal RNA". It matches the Rfam family "Bacterial small subunit ribosomal RNA", at positions 28 to 507 of the family's 1533-position model. The record is from RNAcentral.
GAUGAACGCUGGCGGCGUGCCUAAUACAUGCAAGUCGAGCGAACAGAUGAGGAGCUUGCUCCUCUGACGUUAGCGGCGGACGGGUGAGUAACACGUGGAUAACCUACCUAUAAGACUGGGAUAACUUCGGGAAACCGGAGCUAAUACCGGAUAAUAUAUUGAACCGCAUGGUUCAAUAGUGAAAGACGGUUUUGCUGUCACUUAUAGAUGGAUCCGCGCCGCAUUAGCUAGUUGGUAAGGUAACGGCUUACCAAGGCAACGAUGCGUAUCCGACCUGAGAGGGUGGUAGGCCGCACGAGAACGGGAACACGGUCCAGACUCCUACGGGAGGGAGCAGUCGGGUAUGUGACGCAAUAGGGGAAAACAUUACGGAGCAACGGCGCGUGAGUGACAACAGUCUUGGGAUCGUGAAACUCUGUUAUUGGGUAAGAACAAAUGUGUAAGUAACUAUGCACGUCUUGACGGUACCUGAUCAGAAAGCCACGGCUAACUACGUG